Molecule: long non-coding RNA, 102 nt
Organism: Etheostoma spectabile (orangethroat darter)
Lineage: Eukaryota; Metazoa; Chordata; Actinopteri; Perciformes; Percidae
Exons: 3
Source: RefSeq, a predicted model, not a curated record
UACACAGUUACAACUUUGAUACCACAGAUGUUGUUUGAUACAUGCGGAGUCUUUUACCACUGGUGGUGUAAGCAGUUGGUGCUACAAUACCUUUUGUGUGAU